RNAcentral lists this ribosomal RNA (312 nucleotides) under Triticum aestivum (bread wheat). Its description in RNAcentral is "partial small subunit ribosomal RNA". The record is from RNAcentral. Lineage: Eukaryota; Viridiplantae; Streptophyta; Magnoliopsida; Poales; Poaceae.
GCGGGCCCGGAUUCCGACAAAUGGCUUGAAGCCAUGAAAUCCGAGAUAGGAUCCAUGUAUGAAAACAAAGUAUGGACUUUGACGGACUUGCCCGAUGAUCGGCGAGCCAUAGAAAAUAAAUGGAUCUUUAAGAAGAAGACGGACGCAGAUGGCAGUGUGACCAUCUAUAAAGCUCGGCUUGUCGCUAAGGGUUAUCGACAAGUUCAAGGGGUUGACUACGAUGAGACCUUCUCACCCGUAGCGAAGCUGAAGUCUGUCCGAAUCAUGUUAGCAAUUGCCGCAUUCUAUGAUUAUGAGAUAUGGCAAAUGGAC